Humulus lupulus (European hop) is the source of this 107-nucleotide small nucleolar RNA. The record is from RefSeq and is a predicted model, not a curated record. NCBI's taxonomy places the organism in Eukaryota, Viridiplantae, Streptophyta, Magnoliopsida, Rosales, Cannabaceae.
AUGCCAUCAUGAGGGAAUUUUCGCAACAACUCCUUGAACAGCUCCCAUGCCUCAUAUAAAGGUUCUUCAUUAAGUUGUUGAAAUGAAUUAAUCUCAUUUCUGAGUUU